Homo sapiens (human) is the source of this 3328-nucleotide long non-coding RNA. Ensembl annotates it as long intergenic non-protein coding RNA 2055. The record is from Ensembl. Lineage: Eukaryota; Metazoa; Chordata; Mammalia; Primates; Hominidae.
GGGGCUUCUCCAGCAUAUGGCCUUUGGACUUCAUCUAUACCAUCCGCACUUCUGGGUCUCCAGCCUGCUGGCCCACACUACAGAUUUUGGACUUCCCAGCUUCCAUAAUCAUGUGCUUCCCAUUUCUACAGCCGGUUUACUGCGGUCUCCUCAUGAACAUGUUGUCAUCACGCCCAGUGUAACUGCUCCCUCCCUGCAGGAGUUUACUCUGCUACAUGGAUAAGCUAACAAAGGCUCAUCUGGAACUACAGGGUUACAUCUCUAGUGUCAUUGUAUGACACAGAAGAGAACAAUCCAAUAAUGAGAACAUCCUUGAGGAUCACAGAGUCCAGAGUCCCUAGAGAGAGGGAGAGCAAUCAUGUCUUCUAGACGGCAAGUUACUUACACAUAUGUCUAGAUUUACUUUUCUCUGUGAAAUGACUUCAUAUUGCUGAGUCAUUACUCAGGUGAUCAGGAAAUGUGGUUUUUGGCAGAUACUUGGGGUCCUGCUGCUUGAUAUUCUAGAGGAGUAGAACCCUUUCCUCUUCCAGAGGACAUCUCAGUACAUUUUCUGGGACAGUCUAAUGAUGCACCAAAGAGAAGCUACAAAGCCAUUGAAUGAUUCCUAUUAUGUGCACCUAGCCUGCAUAAAGCUCCUUUUCUCGAGAAGUCGGAGUGAGUGGAGUCAUAUAACUUAACUUUGAUCUAUCUCAAAGGCAUCGCCAGCUCCCUGACAGCCAGGCUCAGCAGAGCACGCAGGCAUGGCCAGGCAUCUAGUGGUUCUGACAGUCACAGAAGCUCUGUUGUGCUAAUGGGCUUCUCUUAAUGCUGAGAGAUCAGCUCUGCAAUUUGCUCAACAGCCCUGGGCCAGCUUUGCAGAGGCCUUAUUGCUCCCAUUCAGGCCAUGUGGUCUGUGAGUUGGAGCAAGAGUAUAUUGUGAGUACUUCUGUGUGAAUAACCCUGCUGGAGCUCCCUGCACUCCAGUUAUUGACUGAGGCAAGUCCCCCAGCCUGGAUAAUUGCCUAUAGGAAGCAUCAACUCUGAUCACUGGAACUGGCCAAGAGGCAAAUGUGACCUCCGAGAGUGACCAUGUUGGCCUGGGUGCCUAUCUGAAAAAAAUUCAAUGAUGUCUUCAUUUGCACCGCACCGUUUUCCUGUCUCAGCGUGUGGAACUGCUUUCAUGGCUCCUGUUUUCUCAUCUAUGACCCCAUCAAUAAGCAUCACUCUGAGAGCAGUACUAAUUUUCUCACAUACAUUCUCUGAAGAACGUUCUUUAUUCUCACCUCCGCAUUUCCUGGAAGAAUGUGUUGUCAUGACAGCAGGGAGGCAAGAGUGUAGGCUUUGGAGUCAGAUAGAAAUGGGUGUGGAGCCCAGUUCUACCAUUUGAAAGUUUUGUGAUGUAGAGAGAGUCACUUAAUCUAACUGUGCCUCAGUUUUCCCAUCUGUAUAAUGGGGUCAAUAUAGUCCUCCUAAAUAAUGGGGUGUCGUUAGGAUUAGCUGAGUGAAUGCAACAAUGCCUAGCACAAACAAGCCCUCUGCAAAUAUGAGGUAGGACCUCCUCCAGAGCUGGCCUUUACAUGCAGGCUUGGGUUUGCUGAAGGUCUUGUUUUAAAAUGCAGUUUUUUUGUUUUUGUUAUUUAAAUUUCCAGGUAUGCUGAUGUCAAUAGAUUAGAUGAUGUCAUUGUAAAGAUAGUUUAUUAUAUUCACAGUUCCCAAGAGAAGAUGGCACACUACACCACACAGGGUCACAUAGGGUCACGCAAGGUGUGGGUCAGAAGGCAGAAGGGCAAGAAAAAUGGGGAAGAGCCUUGAUUGGUGUUUCUGUGGGAAGGAAAAAGUGAGGCAGAUAUAUAGAUUUAGGAUUGGCUAGUUUGAAUAACUUCCACAGCCUCUGGGGUAUAGGGCCUGUCUCUAGUUAUCUGGUACCUGGUUCUUGGUGAUUACAGUAGAGGAAUAGUGGCCCAGAGUGUAAGAGCCUGUAGAGGAGGUGGUUGGGGUUUGGGUUCGGGGUGGGUUCAUUUGCAUAUGAAAGAGGUGCUCUCAAGUGAGUCAUUUAUGUCACCAAGAAUUAACUAGGUCUGAAAAGAGCAGUGUCUCCAGGGACAGCAAGACCCCAGAUGCCAGAGCAUAAAAAAUACAGAAAAUAAAAAUGCAUGAUUAAUACAGGUCUUUUCUUAGUGUAUCCAGACAGAAAAGGGAAAACCAAGGAAACCGUUAUUGAGCACCUACCCGACAGCACCUAAGAACGUUAACACAUGUACUUCACCUCUGGCAGCCUGAAGUUCUGCAUUCCUCAGUUUGGGAUAGCACCUUGAGCUCCAGGCUUUCCACCUCUCAUAUCUGUGAAGCGUUAUCCCAAGUCCAUGCUUUGAUUCUCAUUAUAAUGAUAAUAGAGCUAGUAUUUCACAAUUAAGUCGUGAGUAGACUACUCCUUUCAAAUGUCUCUUCAUGACAGGAAACUAUUCUUCUGUUUCUGGUCUCCUACCUUGUCUUCUUAAAUUUAUUUUUGCCCCUCUCCUAUCUGUUUUUGCACUACAUCGAGAAUGAACUUUUAAAAAUGCAAACUUAAUCAUGUAUUUCCCUACUUAAAAUAAUUUUCCAUUGCUCUAAGAAAAAGGUCACCAUCCUUAGCCUGGUCUACAAAGAAGGCAGGACCGUCCCCUGCUUUCUUCACCACCACCAGCUGAUGUCACUCUUCUUGUCAUUUUCUGCCCUGUAACCAUAUUGGUUUCCUUUUUCUUUCCAAGCAUCGUGUUCCUUUCCACCUAAGGAAUGUUGCAUGUAUUUCCAUCACUUGGAGAUAUAUUUUCAGCAGCCAGCCCUGAAUAUUCACUUGAAAAAUUUUCAUACAUCUUUCAAAACUCAGAAAUUUCUUGAAGAAAACAUUUGUGAUCGCCCCAGUACAGGUCAGGACCCUAAAAUCUAUUGUGAUGCACCCAAUAUUUCUGUUUUAUUAUAGUUAAAAUUAAAAAGUUAAAUUCAAACACUAAAUUGAGAGUUUUAAAAAUAUCAUUCUGUUGACUUCUAACAUAUAUAAAAUUAGGGUCUAUACCUCUCUUGUUUAAUUCACAAUCUCUAGUACAUAAUUGCUGACAUAAUUUGGAAAAUAUCUUGGACAUUAAUCCCAAAUUCUAUUUAAAAUUUGUAUAGACGCUAUUGUUAACAUUAAUUUCCUCUUCUUUUCUUAUCCCAUAACAAUGUUUUUGUACACAUCCUGGGGACCUGAAGAUUAUUUAUUUGUAUAAUAGUAUAUUAAAAAUUUGUACUACUUCGGAUUGUAAGAGUUUAACAAAAUCAUGCAUGUGAAAACAUGAUGUAAAUGAUAAUGUGUUAUACAAAUGUAAUGGGU